Molecule: unclassified non-coding RNA, 669 nt
Filed under: Hevea brasiliensis (rubber tree)
Lineage: Eukaryota; Viridiplantae; Streptophyta; Magnoliopsida; Malpighiales; Euphorbiaceae
Source: RNAcentral
CUACGGAGCUCAAAAUUUACAGCUAACAAGAGACCCAGUGAUGGUGAGACGAAGUCACAGGCAUUUAUAAUCUCUUGGCCUCUUGCACCAUAUCAGAAUUAUAAGUUAAAAGGCCUUGACUUAAUUCGAACAAAAAUAGGUUCCAUUUUUUACAGUUCCAUAUAUACCUUUCCAAAGCUCUGCCGCAGAUCCUUGAUUUAUCGUAUUGCUCUUUGUAAAGAAUUUUGAAAUGCAUAUAUGUGAAACUCGUCAUAGAGGUGCUGGAGUAAAACCUUGGUAGAUAGAGUCCAGUCCUGAUGCGAUCUAAUCUGACUCGAGUUGUAAAUAUGAAAUUUCCAUAUUAGUACACUAUCCCAAGGUCUUUAAUCUUCUCCACUGCAGAAUAUUACCGUCAAGGUGGGUAUUAGCAUCUAAUCUUUCUUCAGAGAGGUUCUCCAGGGUCAAAUACAGAUUUCAUGCACCGAUUGCCACUCUCUUGGAAGCAAGUGACAGAGGACUGAUGUAGACUUCAGACAAAGAGACCAAAACUCGAUGAAAAGCCAGUGCUGAAGCUGCAACAACCAUAAUAAAAGAAGUCCAGCAGAAUUUUAGCAUCAGCACUGUAUCUUUCCUUGCAGAAUCUAUUAUCCUGGAAAAGAUCACUUUGAGCCGACGGUCUUUGAAGAUGGA